GGCCCCGGGAAGAUGACCCGGUUGAUAGGCUACAGGUGUAAGUGUGGUAACACAUUCAGCCAAGUAGUACUAAUAGGCCGUGAGACUUGACCAU
RNAcentral lists this ribosomal RNA (94 nucleotides) under Leptospiraceae bacterium. Its description in RNAcentral is "partial 23S ribosomal RNA". It matches the Rfam family "Bacterial large subunit ribosomal RNA", at positions 2832 to 2925 of the family's 2925-position model. The record is from RNAcentral. Lineage: Bacteria; Pseudomonadati; Spirochaetota; Leptospiria; Leptospirales; Leptospiraceae.